AUAAAACCAACUUUUCAGAAAAAAAAACAUCCAAAAACUAGACUUCUGCCUAUUUAAGCAAUGAGGUAAACCAAAGAAAGUAGAGGAAGGAGGAGGAUCUCAAAAGGUCUGACAUUGGAAUAAUGCAGAACACUUGAUUCAGGUCAUAGAAGAAGCAACACUUUGGGCACAGCACAACACAACCAAGUGAGCACUGGAAACCUGGCACCCAUAGGAUAUUGAAAGUUAUCAGGAUAUUCUUCCCACUCCAAGAUCCAGGAAAGUAACACAUCAAUACAGGACAAGGAGAUGCUUCAACAUCAGAAAUGCAUGGGAGAGCCAGCUUCCCUGAGAUGGCAGCCAGGAAAUCGCUAUGCACCACUGAUGAUGAGGUGAGAUGCAGCAGAAAGUAUGGGUUGCAGCUGAAGAUAUCUAUGGCAUUGCAGCACAUUCUUCCUCAAACUUUGGAUUUUUGUCACUUAAGAAACAAUUUGCAGUCAAUGCCUGAAUAAACAACCCAGCUUACUCAAUUAUUGAAUAGUACAUGGAAAUUUCUAAUUGUAUUCUUUCAUACUGUAUUAUUCUGCUGAUUGGAAUUAAGAGAAAUGUAAUAUGAAAGAAUAUUGCUUCUUGGAUUUCAGAGUUUCAAAACCUUGCCUUUGUCCCCUUGGUGUUUCUUUGAUGUAUCUGUGCUUGAAGUUAUUUCUUUAAUUUGUUUCCGUUGGUUUAAGAAAGAUUAUAAUUCAAUGAACUAUUUUUUUUCUUCUCGCGUGGCUUUGCAUUUCUUUCUUUACAGAGUUAGGGGAAGCUUACCUAAUUAAGUUAUUUCAUUUCAUUGUGCAGAUCACCUUUUACCUGUCUGGUACCUGAGAUGAGUGGUAGUUAUCAAAAGCAAAAUGACUGAUCUGCAGGGGUAAAGAGUAGGGACGAUGGGAUUAUGAUGGCUGAUGACUGCUGCUAUUCAGAGUCAGGCACUUUCAUCUCUGGAUCCAUAUCUUAUUUAUUUUUUCACCCGCAACACAUAGAGCAAUGCCAAAGAACACAGAAGAUAAUCAAUAACUUUUCAAAUGAAAGAAAGAGCAGUAGUGCCUGAAAGAGAAAUAGGCAUUAUAUUAGAAGCAAGCCUGCAGCUGAUAUUUCUGAGAAUAUGAGUCAAAUGUCUUAUUUCUGAAUGUUGGUACCCUAUAUGAGCUGGGAGACAGGAGACAGAUGAUAUUUACUACACUCCAUGUCACCCCUCCUGCCAGGCAAAGUUGGAAACAGCAGGGACACUAUGAACUCCCUGGUACUUCCUGAUGUGUCUCAAUGGUGCUAUAGCUCAUCUUGUUUUUUCUUCCUCCUCUUACAAAAAGCAUAGUGUAAAUAUCCUCGAGGUCUCAUUAAGCAUCUUUUAACUUUGGUGAUUCUUCUCAGAAUUAACGGUAUAAGAUCAGGGCCACAUAUCAUUUUUUUCUUUAAAUGCUGCUCAUCUGCACACUGGAGGCAAGAAGGGACCAUAGCUGGGUGGUGGAGACAAGGAGAAAAGGGUGAAUUGGACAUGAACUCACACAUGAACCUACUAAGCUCUUGCUCCAUCUCUUA
Molecule: long non-coding RNA, 1560 nt
Filed under: Homo sapiens (human)
Lineage: Eukaryota; Metazoa; Chordata; Mammalia; Primates; Hominidae
Description: HSALNT0128428
Source: RNAcentral